RNAcentral lists this ribosomal RNA (372 nucleotides) under uncultured Afipia sp. Its description in RNAcentral is "bacterial SSU rRNA". It matches the Rfam family "Bacterial small subunit ribosomal RNA", at positions 64 to 480 of the family's 1533-position model. Lineage: Bacteria; Pseudomonadati; Pseudomonadota; Alphaproteobacteria; Hyphomicrobiales; Nitrobacteraceae. The record is from RNAcentral.
GAGCGGGCGUAGCAAUACGUCAGCGGCAGACGGGUGAGUAACGCGUGGGAACGUACCUUUUGGUUCGGAACAACACAGGGAAACUUGUGCUAAUACCGGAUAAGCCCUUACGGGGAAAGAUUUAUCGCCGAAAGAUUGGCCCGCGUCUGAUUAGCUAGUUGGUGAGGUAACGGCUCACCAAGGCGACGAUCAGUAGCUGGUCUGAGAGGAUGAUCAGCCACAUUGGGACUGAGACACGGCCCAAACUCCUACGGGAGGCAGCAGUGGGGAAUAUUGGACAAUGGGCGCAAGCCUGAUCCAGCCAUGCCGCGUGAGUGAUGAAGGCCCUAGGGUUGUAAAGCUCUUUUGUGCGGGAAGAUAAUGACGGUACCG